RNAcentral lists this ribosomal RNA (403 nucleotides) under uncultured bacterium. Its description in RNAcentral is "partial 16S ribosomal RNA". It matches the Rfam family "Bacterial small subunit ribosomal RNA", at positions 30 to 526 of the family's 1533-position model. The record is from RNAcentral.
AUUGAACGCUGGCGGCAGGCCUAACACAUGCAAGUCGAGCGAGCGGCGGACGGGUGAGUAAUGUAUGGGGACUGCCCGAUAGAGGGGGAUAACUACUGGAAACGGUGGCUAAUACCGCAUACUAUCGGAUAACCCAUAUGGGAUUAGCUAGUCGGUGGGGGAAAGGCUCACCUAGGCUAAGAUCCCUAGCUGGUCUGAGAGGAUGAGCAGCCACACGGGGACUGAGACACGGCCCAGACUCCUACGGAGGCAGCAGUGGGGAAUAUUGCACAAUGGGCGCAAGCCUGCUGCAGCCAUGCCGCGUGUAUGAAGAAGGCCUUAGGGUUGUAAAGUACUUUCAGUCGGGAGGCGUUACCGACAGAAGAAGCACCGGCUAACUCCGUGCCAGCAGCCGCGGUAAUAC